Molecule: unclassified non-coding RNA, 202 nt
Filed under: Hevea brasiliensis (rubber tree)
Lineage: Eukaryota; Viridiplantae; Streptophyta; Magnoliopsida; Malpighiales; Euphorbiaceae
Source: RNAcentral
GGAGGAUUCAAGCUUCCUAGUGAUGGUUGGUAACAGAUUGUGUUUUGCCUUGUAUGAAGAAUCAUCUAGCUUAAUGAUAUCAUCUUUCAUUAUAUCAGCAAAGCAAUCCUCUUCAUCACAAUCCUUCCAGUGACUAGAAGAAUGAUGCUGAGGCAACUCUUUAUUCAGCUUAUCGGAUUCUGAUCCAGAUUCAAUCUGCUCG